This is a long non-coding RNA of Salvia miltiorrhiza (redroot sage), 482 nucleotides long. RefSeq lists it as uncharacterized. NCBI's taxonomy places the organism in Eukaryota, Viridiplantae, Streptophyta, Magnoliopsida, Lamiales, Lamiaceae. The transcript has 3 exons. The record is from RefSeq and is a predicted model, not a curated record.
UCUUUCUUUUUCUUCUCUUUUUCUUUCCAUUAAUUUUGUUCCCCACUUCAUUUUACCACUAAAUCUACUUUUUGACUUUCACCACCAUUUUCCCCACCACUUUCACCACCAUUUUCUCCACUACUCAAUUAUGCAACAACACAUAUUGUUCCAGCCAUCAAGUCUUUUCUUCCCUCACCAAAACGUGUAGAAGAAGUUGAGAAAGGGAGAGAGAGUUUCCUCCAACUCCAAAUUGUAACUUGAAGAGGUCAAGGGCGAGAUUGAUAAUCUGUUGAGGAGCUUUUGUAUCACAGAAAAUUACUAUCAGGUUGAGCAGCUGCCGAUGGUGAUGAAGUGACGAGCGGGACUCUUUUGUUUUAUUAUGUAUUAAUGAACUCUAGGGUUACAUGUCUUCAUACAUGUAAUCAGAACCUUAUUCCGCUGCGUACUCAGAAGUUUUAUGUUAUUUUGGAUAAGUCGGAGUUAUCCGAAUUUACUAGUUA